CGCGCCGCAAGUCCUCCCGCAUCAGCCUGCUGCCUGGCAUGGAGCCGCUCGCGAGCCCCGCCGCCCUCGACGCCGACCACGCCCCGCCGGUCACCCACGACCUCAUCAGCUGGGACACGCCCCUCGAGCGCAACGCCAGGAGGCGCUCCAGACGCUCGGCCGUGUCCUCCCUGGCGACCCCCAGACGACAGUCCCGGCGAGUGAGCAAGGCGCCGGUGCUCUAAGGCGAGGCACCGAACCAGCAGCGAAAGUCUUGAACCCCAGAACCGACGAAUCAGGUCAUCUCGGAAUCAGUGAGCGAGUGAGAGCCAGAAUCGGGAAAGCCACUCGUUCAGGCCAUCGUGCAGUGAGUGAAUCGGCGAAUGAUUAGAUUUCUGAAUCCGAGAACUAGGUGGGCUUCGCGAGGACUCGGGACGGAGACGGUUGGAAAUGGCGCCGCGGAUCGAGAUUCAUCAAACCCUUUUUUCUUUUUUUGCAACAUUUCUGAAAUGUUGUUAUUAUUUUAGGGGGGUUUAGUGUCAUAUGAAAUUAUAUACGAAAGCUAUUAUCUGAGAAGUGUGAGUUUUCUUUGUUGUUGGGAGUCUUUCCCAAGUAUAUAAUCCAAGUUUUUUCGCGCUCCUCGUGAUUUUAGUUGACAAUCGACGCAGGUUCGAUUCAAAAUUCUACUUUUUUUUUAGAGCUUUAAUGUGUCAUAUAUUCAUUCAACCGUAGCUGGCGUGAUCGGCCAGUGGUAUCGAGAUGAAAUCCAUCAAGCGAACAUAUUUCAGCUUGUAUUAUUUCCAUUUUAAUGAUAAGAUAUAUUCGUUUCUUUUGAGUUAGAAUGUAUAAUGUAUAACAUGCAUUCUAACAUAUCUUCGAAGGCUUCUCUUGUUUUGUAUGACUGUCACUCAUUUUUUUCAUUCCAGUAUUAUACUCUGCAUGCAUCUACGUACCUGAAUAAUGAAUAAUAUUAAUAUCAGGAUGUCAGAACACAUUCUUGUAUCUCUAUCCACAGGAUUACUUAGGUUUAUAUAUAGGGUUUUUGUUGUAAAUAUAAAUGUCUAUGCCAGUAAACACUUCAUUUUGUUCUAUUUUUUCAAAAAGUUUUCUUCUCUUGAGUGUGUGAACUUUUGCAUUUAUACUUAGAUUGUACUAGUUUUAUAAAUGGUGUCAAAUAAGUAAGAUUUUUUUCUUUCAUGUAAUAGGUAAAGAUGUAAGACCGUUUUGUGGAAUGUAUAAUGGAUGAGAUUCGUGUCAUAAAUAGAAAUUCUUAUUGUUUAGAAAUAAAUUCGUUUUAUUGUUUUGUUAAAGCAAAGAGCCUGCAUAAUAUUAUGCAGAUAACACAUUUGAUUUAACCAUCAUCUUUGGUGCUGAAAAUAAACACAUUUACCA
Molecule: long non-coding RNA, 1371 nt
Organism: Penaeus indicus
Lineage: Eukaryota; Metazoa; Arthropoda; Malacostraca; Decapoda; Penaeidae
Exons: 2
Source: RefSeq, a predicted model, not a curated record